Molecule: transfer RNA, 79 nt
Filed under: Micromonospora sp. NBRC 101691
Lineage: Bacteria; Bacillati; Actinomycetota; Actinomycetes; Micromonosporales; Micromonosporaceae
Description: tRNA-Thr
Rfam family: tRNA
About the family: Transfer RNA (tRNA) molecules are approximately 80 nucleotides in length. Their secondary structure includes four short double-helical elements and three loops (D, anti-codon, and T loops). Further hydrogen bonds mediate the characteristic L-shaped molecular structure. tRNAs have two regions of fundamental functional importance: the anti-codon, which is responsible for specific mRNA codon recognition, and the 3' end, to which the tRNAs corresponding amino acid is attached (by aminoacyl-tRNA synthetases). tRNAs cope with the degeneracy of the genetic code in two manners: having more than one tRNA (with a specific anti-codon) for a particular amino acid; and 'wobble' base-pairing, i.e. permitting non-standard base-pairing at the 3rd anti-codon position.
Source: RNAcentral
AGCCGGUGGAGCUCACGAUGGUCGAGCACCGCACCUGUAAUGCGGCGGACGCAGGUUCGAUUCCUGUCAUCGGCUCCCA